GAUGAACGCUAGCGGCAGGCUUAACACAUGCAAGUCGAGGGGUAUAGGCUUUCGGGCCUAGAGACCGGCGCACGGGUGCGUAACGCGUAUGCAAUCUGCCUUACACUAAGGGAUAGCCCAGAGAAAUUUGGAUUAAUACCUUAUGGUAUAUUGAUGUGGCAUCACAUUAUUAUUAAAGAUUUAUCGGUGUAAGAUGAGCAUGCGUCCCAUUAGCUAGUUGGUGUGGUAACGGCAUACCAAGGCGAUGAUGGGUAGGGGUUCCUGAGAGGGAGAUCCCCACCACNGUGNCUGAGACACGGACCAGACUCCUACGGGAGGCAGCAGUGAGGAAUAUUGGACAAUGGGCCGCAAGCCUGAUCCAGCCAUGCCGCGUGCAGGAUGACGGUCCUAUGGAUUGUAAACUGCUUUUUGUACGGGAAGAACACUCCAACGUGUUGGAGCUUGACGGUACCGUAAGAAUAAGGAUCGGCUAACUCCGUGCCAGCAGCCGCGGUAAUACGGA
Molecule: ribosomal RNA, 502 nt
Filed under: uncultured bacterium
Lineage: Bacteria
Description: bacterial SSU rRNA
Rfam family: Bacterial small subunit ribosomal RNA
Source: RNAcentral